RNAcentral lists this ribosomal RNA (433 nucleotides) under uncultured bacterium. RNAcentral describes it as "partial 16S ribosomal RNA". It matches the Rfam family "Bacterial small subunit ribosomal RNA", at positions 29 to 507 of the family's 1533-position model. The record is from RNAcentral.
AACGAACGCUGGCGGCAUGCCUAACACAUGCAAGUCGAACGAGACCUUCGGGUCUAGUGGCGCACGGGUGCGUAACGCGUGGGAACCUGCCCUUAGGUUCGGAAUAACUCCCCGAAAGGGGUGCUAAUACCGGAUAAUGUCUUCGGACCAAAGAUUUAUCGCUUUUGGAUGGGCCCGCGUUGGAUUAGCUAGUUGGUAGGGUAAAAGCCUACCAAGGCGACGAUCCAUAGCUGGUCUGAGAGGAUGAUCAGCCACACUGGGACUGAGACACGGCCCAGACUCCUACGGGAGGCAGCAGUAGGGAAUAUUGGACGAUGGGCGAAAGCCUGAUCCAGCAAUGCCGCGUGAGUGAUGAAGGCCUUAGGGUUGUAAAGCUCUUUUACCCGGGAUGAUAAUGACAGUACCGGGAGAAUAAGCUCCGGCUAACUCCGUG